UAGGGAAUAUUGCUUAAUGGGCGAAAGCCUGAAGCAGCAACGCCGCGUGAACGAAGAACGCCUUCGGGUCGUAAAGUUCUUUUACGUGGGAUGAGGAAGGACAGUACCACGAGAAUAAGUCUCGGCUAACUACGUGCCAGCAGCCGCGGUAAAACGUAGGAGACGAGCGUUAUCCGGAUUUACUGGGCGUAAAGCGCGUGUAGGAGGCGCUACAAGUUGGAUGUGAAAGCUCCCGGCUUAACUGGGAGAGGUCGUUCAAGACUGUAGAGCUAGAGUGAGGCAGAGGUAGGUGGAACUCCGGGAGUAGUGGUGAAAUGCGUAGAUAUCCGGAAGAACACCAGAGGCGAAAGCGAUCUACUGGACCUAAACUGACACUGAGACGCGAAAGCCAGGGUAGCAAACGG
This 404-nucleotide ribosomal RNA is filed under the name uncultured bacterium. RNAcentral's name for it is "bacterial SSU rRNA". It matches the Rfam family "Bacterial small subunit ribosomal RNA", at positions 355 to 775 of the family's 1533-position model. The record is from RNAcentral.